Long non-coding RNA from Vigna angularis (adzuki bean), 461 nucleotides. RefSeq lists it as uncharacterized. The record is from RefSeq and is a predicted model, not a curated record. NCBI's taxonomy places the organism in Eukaryota, Viridiplantae, Streptophyta, Magnoliopsida, Fabales, Fabaceae. The transcript is spliced from 2 exons.
ACUCACUCAUUUCUCUUAUAUAAGAUUCAUUCUUCCAAACCAACCCUUCAUCCUUCAAAAAACACAUUUCUCUAAUUUCUCCUUCACUUUCUGCUUUUCAUGGCCAACAUUAUUGUCAACCCUUCUUCUUUCCUUCUCAGGAAGCGAUGGUGUAGUGUUGUAACAGAGAGUUUCAGGAUGCAAAUGGAAGGCAAAAGAGUGAAAGGAAAAGCAAAUAAAGAAGAUAAGUUUUGGAUGAGAGAUCCAAAGAGUGGAAAUUGGAUUCCAGAGAAACACUUUGGUGAAGUUGAUGCUGCUGAGCUUAGGGAGAAGUUUCUGCCCAAACCACACACUAAAUCUACCAAUCAACUUAACUAGAAUCUCGUUCAAACAAAAACCACUUAUAUGUAAUAAAUAUAUGUUCUUGAUGGUCUCGCUUACCUCUAUAAUAAGUCAAUUUCAUCAUCAUUAAUUGUUCUCUA